RNAcentral lists this ribosomal RNA (746 nucleotides) under Halobacterium noricense. Its description in RNAcentral is "bacterial SSU rRNA". It matches the Rfam family "Archaeal small subunit ribosomal RNA", at positions 76 to 821 of the family's 1478-position model. Lineage: Archaea; Methanobacteriati; Methanobacteriota; Halobacteria; Halobacteriales; Halobacteriaceae. The record is from RNAcentral.
CCGCAGCGGAAAGCUCAGUAACACGUGGCCAAACUACCCUGUGGAUGGGAACAAUCUCGGGAAACUGAGGCUAAUUCCCAAUAACGCUCCGCCCCUGGAACGGACGGAGCUGGAAACGCUACGGCGCCACAGGAUGUGGCUGCGGUCGAUUAGGUAGACGGUGGGGUAACGGCCCACCGUGCCAAUAAUCGGUACGGGUUGUGAGAGCAAGAGCCCGGAGACGGAAUCUGAGACAAGAUUCCGGGCCCUACGGGGCGCAGCAGGCGCGAAACCUUUACACUGUACGCAAGUGCGAUAAGGGGACUCCGAGUGUGAAGGCAUAGAGCCUUCACUUUUGUACACCGUAAGGUGGUGUACGAAUAAGGGCUGGGCAAGACCGGUGCCAGCCGCCGCGGUAAUACCGGCAGCCCGAGUGAUGGCCGAUAUUAUUGGGCCUAAAGCGUCCGUAGCUGGCCGGACAAGUCCGUUGGGAAAUCUGUUCGCUUAACGAGCAGGCGUCCAGCGGAAACUGUUCGGCUUGGGACCGGAAGACCUGAGGGGUACGUCCGGGGUAGGAGUGAAAUCCUGUAAUCCUGGACGGACCACCGGUGGCGAAAGCGCCUCAGGAGGACGGAUCCGACAGUGAGGGACGAAAGCUAGGGUCUCGAACCGGAUUAGAUACCCGGGUAGUCCUAGCUGUAAACGAUGCCCGCUAGGUGUGGCGCAGGCUACGAGCCUGCGCUGUGCCGUAGGGAAGCCGAGAAGCG